UCUGUGCCGGUAGCCGUACUAGCUCUGUGAUGUGGGUAAUCUGUUUUAUCUGGAGCAUUGUUUCAGUCCCAAACUAAGGGCUUUGGAAGGUGAGACUGAAAUGGUUCUGUGUGGAGUUGAAUGUUCAUGCUGGGGCCUGGAUACUA
Molecule: long non-coding RNA, 146 nt
Organism: Sphaeramia orbicularis (orbiculate cardinalfish)
Lineage: Eukaryota; Metazoa; Chordata; Actinopteri; Kurtiformes; Apogonidae
Exons: 3
Source: RefSeq, a predicted model, not a curated record